GAUGAACGCUGGCGGCGUGCCUAAUACAUGCAAGUCGAGCGAAUGGAUUAAGAGCUUGCUCUUAUGAAGUUAGCGGCGGACGGGUGAGUAACACGUGGGUAACCUGCCCAUAAGACUGGGAUAACUCCGGGAAACCGGGGCUAAUACCGGAUAACAUUUUGAACCGCAUGGUUCGAAAUUGAAAGGCGGCUUCGGCUGUCACUUAUGGAUGGACCCGCGUCGCAUUAGCUAGUUGGUGAGGUAACGGCUCACCAAGGCAACGAUGCGUAGCCGACCUGAGGGGGUGAUCGGCCCAACUGGGACUGAGACACGGCCCAGACUCCUACGGGAGGCAGCAGUAGGGAAUCUUCCGCAAUGGACGAAAGUCUGACGGAGCAACGCCGCGUGAGUGAUGAAGGCUUUCGGGUCGUAAAACUCUGUUGUUAGGGAAGAACAAGUGCUAGUUGAAUAAGCUGACACCUUGACGGUACCUAACCAGAAAGCCACGGCUAACUACGUGCCAGCAGCCGCCGCGG
Molecule: ribosomal RNA, 515 nt
Filed under: uncultured bacterium
Lineage: Bacteria
Description: partial 16S ribosomal RNA
Rfam family: Bacterial small subunit ribosomal RNA
Source: RNAcentral